Molecule: ribosomal RNA, 107 nt
Organism: Ursus americanus (American black bear)
Lineage: Eukaryota; Metazoa; Chordata; Mammalia; Carnivora; Ursidae
Source: Ensembl
GUCUAUGGCCAUACCACCCUAAAUGUGUCUGAUCUUGGAAGCUAAGCAGGGCUGUGCCAGGUUAGUAUUUGAAUGGGAGCCGCCUAGGGAUACCAGUGCAGUAGGCU